This 75-nucleotide ribosomal RNA is filed under the name Pseudeurotium bakeri. RNAcentral's name for it is "5.8S ribosomal RNA". It matches the Rfam family "5.8S ribosomal RNA", at positions 81 to 154 of the family's 154-position model. Rfam says of the family: 5.8S ribosomal RNA (5.8S rRNA) is a component of the large subunit of the eukaryotic ribosome. It is transcribed by RNA polymerase I as part of the 45S precursor that also contains 18S and 28S rRNA. Lineage: Eukaryota; Fungi; Ascomycota; Leotiomycetes; Thelebolales; Pseudeurotiaceae. RNAcentral also lists the same sequence under 3 other names. The record is from RNAcentral.
UCAGUGAAUCAUCGAAUCUUUGAACGCACAUUGCGCCCCCUGGUAUUCCGGGGGGCAUGCCUGUUCGAGCGUCAU